GAUGAAGAACGUAGCGAAAUGCGAUACGUAAUGUGAAUUGCAGAAUUCAGUGAAUCAUCGAGUCUUUGAACGCACAUUGCGCCCCCUGGUAUUCCGGGGGGCAUGCCUGUCCGAGCGUCAUUGCUGCCCUCAAGCACGGCUUGUGUGUUGGGCCUCCGUCCUCCUCCCGGGGGACGGGCCCGAAAGGCAGCGGCGGCACCGCGUCCGGUCCUCGAGCGUAUGGGGCUUCGUCACCCGCUCUUGUAGGCCUGGCCGGCGCUUGCCGACACAUCAAUCUUUUUUCCAGGUUGACCUCGGAUCAGGUAGGGAUACCCGCUGAACUUAAGCAUAUCAAUAAGCGGAGGA
RNAcentral lists this unclassified non-coding RNA (345 nucleotides) under soil metagenome. RNAcentral's name for it is "partial contains 5.8S ribosomal RNA, internal transcribed spacer 2, and large subunit ribosomal RNA". The stretch from base 1 to 120 matches the Rfam family "5.8S ribosomal RNA", at positions 35 to 154 of the family's 154-position model. The record is from RNAcentral.